AUACGGAGGGUGCAAGCGUUAAUCGGAAUUACUGGGCGUAAAGCGCACGCAGGCGGUCUGUCAAGUCGGAUGUGAAAUCCCCCGGGCUCAACCUGGGAACUGCAUUCGAAACUGGCAGGCUAGAGUCUUGUAGAGGGGGGUAGAAUUCCAGGUGUAGCGGUGAAAUGCGUAGAGAUCUGGAGGAAUACCGGUGGCGAAGGCGGCCCCCCUGGACAAAGACUGACGCUCAGGUGCGAAAGCGUGGGGAGC
This 249-nucleotide ribosomal RNA is filed under the name uncultured bacterium. RNAcentral describes it as "partial 16S ribosomal RNA". It matches the Rfam family "Bacterial small subunit ribosomal RNA", at positions 523 to 769 of the family's 1533-position model. The record is from RNAcentral.